AUUGAACGCUGGCGGCAGGCUUAACACAUGCAAGUCGAGCGGGGGAAGGUAGCUUGCUACCGGACCUAGCGGCGGACGGGUGAGUAAUGCUUAGGAAUCUGCCUAUUAGUGGGGGACAACAUCUCGAAAGGGAUGCUAAUACCGCAUACGUCCUACGGGAGAAAGCAGGGGAUCUUCGGACCUUGCGCUAAUAGAUGAGCCUAAGUCGGAUUAGCUAGUUGGUGGGGUAAAGGCCUACCAAGGCGACGAUCUGUAGCGGGUCUGAGAGGAUGAUCCGCCACACUGGGACUGGGACACGGCCCAGACUCCUACGGGAGGCAGCAGUGGGGGAUAUUGGACCAUGGGGGGAAACCUGGUCCCGGCAAGCCGCGUGUGUGAAGAAGGCCUUAUGGUUGUAAAGCACUUUAUGCGAGGAGGGAAAUACUUUAGUUAAUACCUAGAGAUAGUGGACGUUACUCAAAGAAUAAGCACCGGCUAACUCUGUG
RNAcentral lists this ribosomal RNA (485 nucleotides) under uncultured bacterium. RNAcentral's name for it is "partial 16S ribosomal RNA". It matches the Rfam family "Bacterial small subunit ribosomal RNA", at positions 30 to 507 of the family's 1533-position model. The record is from RNAcentral.